CCUACGGGGGGCAGCAGUAGGGAAUCUUCGGCAAUGGGCGAAAGUCUGACCCAGCAACGCCGCGUGGGUGAAGAAGGCCCUCGGAUCGUAAAACUCUGUUGUUAGAGAAGAACACGGCGCAAGGGAACUGUUCACCCCUGGACGGGAACCAACCAGAAACCCCCGGCCAGCAACGUGCCAGCAACGGCGGUGACGCGUGGGGGGCGAGCGUAGUCCGGAUUUAUUGGGCGUAAAGCGAGCGCAGGCGGUGUGGUAAGUCGGGUGUGAAAGCGCCCGGCUCAACCGGGGGGGGUCAUUGGAAACUGGGGGGCUUGAGUGCGGAAGAGGAGAGUGGAAUUCCAGGUGUAGCGGUGAAAUGCGUAGAUAUAUGGAGGAAUACCAGUGGCGAAGGCGGCUCUCUGGUCUGUAACUGACGCUGAGGCUCGAAAGCGUGGGGAGCAAACAGGAUUAGAUACCCUUGUAGUC
RNAcentral lists this ribosomal RNA (465 nucleotides) under uncultured Melissococcus sp. RNAcentral's name for it is "partial 16S ribosomal RNA". It matches the Rfam family "Bacterial small subunit ribosomal RNA", at positions 338 to 795 of the family's 1533-position model. The record is from RNAcentral. Lineage: Bacteria; Bacillati; Bacillota; Bacilli; Lactobacillales; Enterococcaceae.